This 253-nucleotide ribosomal RNA is filed under the name uncultured bacterium. RNAcentral's name for it is "partial 16S ribosomal RNA". It matches the Rfam family "Bacterial small subunit ribosomal RNA", at positions 524 to 776 of the family's 1533-position model. The record is from RNAcentral.
UACGGGGGGGGCAAGCGUUGUUCGGAAUUACUGGGCGUAAAGGGCUCGUAGGUGGCCAACUAAGUCAGACGUGAAAUCCCUCGGCUUAACCGGGGAACUGCGUCUGAUACUGGUUGGCUUGAGAUUGGGAGAGGGACGCGGAAUUCCAGGUGUAGCGGUGAAAUGCGUAGAUAUCUGGAGGAACACCGGUGGCGAAGGCGGCGUCCUGGACCAACACUGACACUGAGGAGCGAAAGCCAGGGGAGCAAACGGG